Molecule: long non-coding RNA, 460 nt
Filed under: Rattus norvegicus (Norway rat)
Lineage: Eukaryota; Metazoa; Chordata; Mammalia; Rodentia; Muridae
Description: long non-coding RNA NONRATT025361
Source: RNAcentral
CCCUAGGGGACGGCCUCUGUCCAGCAUGCCUUAAGUCCCAGGAAGGGCAGUUUCUGACUCACCCAAGGGUCUGGUCUACUUGGAUUUGUCCUGGAUGCUAUCGCCACGGACAGGGGACCCUGGACCAGAGCUUAAAAGCCCCAGAGAGCCUAGGAAGUCACAGACCCUACCUGUAAGCACCUGGAAGUCCAACAGUAUGAAGGAGCAAAGCACGCAUCCCGGGGACGGCAUGAAACCCAGCCUGGGCUCACUGAAGAGGACCCUUUUCCGGACCAGCCUGCGAGCUUCAACACACAAGCCCAAGGAGGACGAGGGCCUGCUCAGGCGGAGCUCCCGUUUUCUGUUCAGGUCCUUGAGACGGGCCCUAGAUGAAGGCCUAACUGCUGGGCAUCCCCAAGGCACUGCUGUACCAGAGAAGCCCUCCAGGGUCACAGAUGGUGUCAGCCAGCAGGCAGCCACU